GGCAGACUUGCCGCUCUGGCAGCGGUGACUGGGGUCGAGUCUCGUUGGGUAUUUUCUGAGCUGCGGGAAUGGAGGCGUCGCGCUGCCGACUCGGACCGCUCGGAGGCAGUGCCUUUGAAGAUGAGACCAUGAAGCUUCGACAGCUGAAACUAGAUAAUCAGCGAGCACUCCUGGAGAAGAAACAGAGAAAAAAGCGCCUGGAGCCACUCAUGGUACAGCCAAAUCCAGAAGCCAGGCUACGUCGGUCAAAGCCAAGAGGUUGUGAGGAGCAAACUCCUUUGGUGGAACCUCACACCCCUCACAACAAUGUCAUCCUACAUGGCAUUGAUGGUCCAGCUGCCUUCCUGAAGCCAGAUGCUCAAGAUGUGGAAACCAAAUUUCACGUUCUCUCAGUUGGCUCUUCUGCUACAGAAGAGGAUACUGAAGGAAGUGUUGAUGGGGAAAGCACUUUGGAUACUGAGUCUAAGCCAGAUCUUCAGGAGAUUCUCCAAAAACAUGGUAUCUCAGGUAGUUUGAACUUUGAUGAGGAGACUGAUGGGGAAGAAGAAGGAGAAAAAUUAAGAUCUCAUUCACCACGUUCAGGGGCAGAAAGAUCUAGUUCUUCAUCCAGCCAGAAGUCAACCACAGAUACAGGAGCUUCUGGUAUUUCAGCCCAACAAAAUGAUAACCAGCUGGGAGAAGUGGAGAAUUUAGAGGACUUUGCUUAUAGUCCUGCCCCUCGAGGCAUCACAGUCAAGUGUCGGAUAACCAGAGAUAAAAAAGGAAUGGAUGGGGGUCUCUUUCCCACUUACUAUAUGCACUUGGAAAAGGAUGAAAAUCGGAAGAUAUUUCUUCUUGCAGGUAGAAAGCGAAAAAAGAGCAAAACAUCCAAUUACCUUAUCUCUACUGAUCCAACAGAUUUAUCUCGUGAAGGAGAAAGUUAUAUUGGCAAACUCAGAUCCAACCUCAUGGGGACCAAGUUUACAGUUUAUGACCAUGGUGUCAGCCCCGCCAAAGCUCAAGGUCUGGUAGAAAAGGCCUAUACCCGGCAGGAGCUGGCAGCCAUCUGCUACGAAACAAAUGUACUUGGAUUUAAAGGUCCUAGGAAAAUGUCUGUGAUCAUUCCAGGGAUGAAUAUGAAUCAUCAACGGAUCCCAUUUUGGCCACGAAACGACCAUGAGAGCUUGCUUUCAAAAUGGCAAAACAAAACCAUGGAGAACUUGAUUGAGCUGCACAACAAGGCCCCAGUCUGGAAUGAUGACACUCAGUCCUAUGUCCUGAACUUCCAUGGCCGGGUCACUCAGGCUUCUGUGAAGAACUUUCAGAUAGUACACGAAAAUGACCCUGACUAUAUAGUCAUGCAGUUUGGACGUGUGGCAGACGACGUGUUCACCCUGGAUUACAACUACCCACUGUGUGCACUUCAGGCCUUCGCCAUUGGGCUUUCUAGCUUUGACAGCAAGCUAGCGUGUGAAUGAGACGGAAAGCACACACAGAGCUGGACUUUCUCACUACAGAGCUUUCAGGAGCAGGUAGUUGCCUACCUUGCUCUUGGCCCAGGACAUGAAGAGAGACAAUCUGCACCUUUUGGAAUAAUCCCUGAAUGUAUGUGUGUGUAUAUGUGUAUAUACAUACAUGUAUGUGUUAUGUAUACACAUGUAGACACACACACCCCACUUCUCUGGAUUUCACAGACCUGGUCAAGGACUAUAGGUUAACAUACGUGAGAAAUUAUUAAUUAAAAGCAGAGGAAGGCUUUUGUCCAGAGCACAAUGAUAGCCCUUGAGGUUAUUGCCUCUUAUAGAUUCUGUGCAAGAGUCAGAUUUCCUUGGAAACUUGUAGCUAGAAUCAGGUUCUAAUUAAAUACUUGGGUGUCUUUUUUGAAGACAUUUUCAGAGAGGAACAGUUCCCUAAAUUGACUUUAGUCUCUAACUUUAGGUCUGCAAACUUUUUCCCCUCAAGGGCCAGAUGGUCUCUCUCAGAACUACUCAGUUCUGUCAUUGUAGUGCAGAAGUAGCCAUGGCCAGUUCAUAUAUGGAUGAGGGUGGCCUUAUUCUGGUGAAACUUUAUAAAACCAGGCAGUAGCCAGAUUUGGCCUGUGGGCCAUAGUUUGCCAACCUCUGCUUCAGGUAUAUCUUUAUACUCUCUGGACUUGGGCGUUUCCAGAAGAGGCUCCUAUUAUGCAACGGUAUGAGUGGGAAAUGGAGAAGUCCUACAGAUUGGAUCCAGAGAGGUGCUCAGCUGCAUUCACUGUUAACAAAGCACUACCUUGUUUUGGUGACGAUGGUUUCUAGAGUAUUGUUCAUCAUCAGAACUGGAAAACUCCAAGGUCCACGAUCAUUUUGAGUCCACACAGGUGGCUUAAUUCCCCUAACCUGCCUGACACACCUAUAGGAGAAGACAAUGCCAGCCACUUUACCUUCCCCAAGAAAAGAACUUGCGCUCACUAGGAAACAAAUCUAGAAUUGUAUUGUUUUAACAACAGGGAGUAUAGUAUUUGUUUCUUAGAGCUAGCUUGGUGUCCCCAUGGUGCUUGGAAGGUACUGAUGUCAGUCCCCCUCUUUCCUCAGAGCAGAUUGGCUGGCACCAAGUUCAGUCAAAGAGCCUAUGGCCACAUUUGUGACUGGUGAUGUGAGAAUUUUAUAUAAUUGUCUUAAUUUCAGUUCAGACUAAAAACUCCAGAGGUGACUUAGUCUACUUAAGACUGAGAGUAAUUUGACAGAUGCCUUCAUUUUCAACCCAGGAGUGCCUCCCCAGCUGUAUUAAUAUGGAGCGAUGGUUCAAAGGGACACACACACCUGUAGACCAUGUAAGAAGUAAGAGAUUAUUAUGUGUUGAAACUCUGUCAUUAUCAAAAGUGGUGGCGGGAGAGGCUUGGUGGCAACCAGCUAACUCCUGAGCUCUGCAGACCUUACUGGGCAGAACUUGGGGCCUUUCUUCUUGAAAUAAAUAUUAUCAGCUCCCUAAAGCCUGGUUCAUUGGUACAGAUGAAGCUCCUGUCUUCCUCAUAGAUCAUGAGUUUUGCUAAGUUGUUCAGAUUAUUAGCACCUCUGCUGAUAAUGUGACUCUGCUGUCAGCUCACCUGUCUCAGAGUGUACCUGAAUCUUGAGAAUCCAGUAAUUUUGUGAGUGCUGCAUUCAGCAAUGCUCAACACCCAAGCCUUUGUGCAUUGAGCUGUUUGCCAGUGUGGGGCAAGAUAUCAGUGGUCAUUGUUCCAUUUUGUUUCCCUUCUGUGGACUCUCUUUUUGCCUCUGCUUCCUGUUGUUCCAUGCUCCAUAUCAAAAAGCAUUGUGACAGAAGGCGGUCUGUGAGAUGAAAAGUCCUUUGGCUUCUCCCCACUUGAAAGUCCUAUGUGAUGUGUUUUGUCAUGAUUGGUUUCCAUCUCAGGCAUGCUUCCAUCAAGUGCCUCCUUCAUAGAAGUGCCCAAAGCCCUUCAGACCUCUGGCACCACCUUCCUCAAGUACUGUCAGCUCUGGCCCCAGAUGCAGCCGCCACAGUGAUGUUGAUGCCCAAGAACCAGAUUGUCGUUUAUGAACUUUUUAAGGAGGGAGUGAUGGUAGUUAAGAAGGAUGUGCACAUGGCUAAAUACCCUGAGCUGGCAGACAAGAAUGUGCCUAAUCUUCACGUUAUGAAGGCCAUGCAGUCUCUCAAAUCACGACGUGAUGGAACAGUUUACCUAGAGGCAUUUCUACUGGUACCUUACUAACAAGGGCAUCCAGUAUCUCCGUGUUUACUUCUCCCUGCCCCCUAAGAUCGUGCACUGCAGAUGCCCUGAGAUUGGCAGGCCAAAGCCCACAUGUCUGGAGAACAAGUGACCUGCAAGACUCAUACAAGGGAAAGCUGACAGAGACAUUUACAGAUGGAGUGCUGUGCCCCCUGGUGCAGACCCUGAAGCCCAAGCCAGGGCUGCGUCA
This is an RNA transcript of Artibeus jamaicensis (Jamaican fruit-eating bat), 3893 nucleotides long. It is a transcript of the gene named TUB like protein 3, with no coding region annotated. The record is from RefSeq and is a predicted model, not a curated record. The transcript has 12 exons. Lineage: Eukaryota; Metazoa; Chordata; Mammalia; Chiroptera; Phyllostomidae.